GAUGAAGAACGUAGCGAAAUGCGAUAAGUAAUGUGAAUCGCAGAAUUCAGUGAAUCAUCGAAUCUUUGAACGCACAUUGCGCCCGCCAGUAUUCUGGCGGGCAUGCCUGUCCGAGCGUCAUUUCAACCCUCAAGCCCCAGCCGGCUUGGUGUUGGGGACCGGCCCCGGCCGCCCCCCAAAUGCAGUGGCGACCUCGCCGCAGCCUCCCCUGCGUAGUAGCACAACCUCGCACCGGAGCGCGGAGACGGUCACGCCGUAAAACGCCCAACUUCUCAGAGUUGACCUCGGAUCAGGUAGGAAUACCCGCUGAACUUAAGCAUAUCAAUAAGCGGAGGA
RNAcentral lists this unclassified non-coding RNA (336 nucleotides) under soil metagenome. Its description in RNAcentral is "partial contains 5.8S ribosomal RNA, internal transcribed spacer 2, and large subunit ribosomal RNA". The stretch from base 1 to 120 matches the Rfam family "5.8S ribosomal RNA", at positions 35 to 154 of the family's 154-position model. The record is from RNAcentral.